RNAcentral lists this ribosomal RNA (468 nucleotides) under uncultured bacterium. RNAcentral describes it as "partial 16S ribosomal RNA". It matches the Rfam family "Bacterial small subunit ribosomal RNA", at positions 28 to 507 of the family's 1533-position model. The record is from RNAcentral.
GACGAGCGCUGGCGGCGUGCUUAACACAUGCAAGUCGAACGGACAGGCCCUGCAUUUGUGGGGUGCUCGAGUGGCGAACGGGUGAGUAACACGUGAGUAACCUGCCCUUGACUUUGGGAUAACUUCAGGAAACUGGGGCGAAUACCGGAUAGGAGCUCCUGCUGCAUGGUGGUGGUUGGACAGUUUCGGUGGUUGUGCAUGGACUCGCGGCUUAGCAGCUUGUUGGUGGGGUAGUGGCUUACCAAGGCUUUGACGAUUAGCCGGCCUGAGAGGGUGACCGGCUACUUGGGAGGUUAGAUACGGCCUAUACUCCUUCGGGAGGCAGUAGUGCGGAAUAUUGCAGAAUGGGCAGUAGCCUGAUGCAGCAACGUCGCGUGCGUGAUGAGGGCCCUCGUGUUGUAAACCGCUUUCGCCUGUGACGAAGCGUGCGUGACGGUAAUGGGUAAAGCAGCGCCGACUAGCUAAGUA